CUCCGAUCUCUUGAUGCCUCACCAAGGGCAGACAGUCCCAGUGCCCGCAGCAGUGUAGGUGCUUCUUCAGCCGCGGUGAUCACAUGGCUAGAUCCGUUGUGGGUCACUGUGAAGGCUCGUGGAAUGGUCCAGUGGUAUGUAACUCUUGCGAUUCUCAGUUGGCUCGUGGUUUGGUGGAGCAUUUUGCUCCAUUGCAGGGUGAACC
Non-coding RNA from Pelobates cultripes (western spadefoot toad), 205 nucleotides. The record is from the annotation of a GenBank genome assembly. Lineage: Eukaryota; Metazoa; Chordata; Amphibia; Anura; Pelobatidae.